Molecule: ribosomal RNA, 428 nt
Filed under: uncultured bacterium
Lineage: Bacteria
Description: bacterial SSU rRNA
Rfam family: Bacterial small subunit ribosomal RNA
Source: RNAcentral
UAGGGAAUCUUCCACAAUGGACGAAAGUCUGAUGGAGCAACGCCGCGUGAACGAUGAAGGCCUUCGGGUCGUAAAGUUCUGUUGUAAGGGAAGAACAAGUGCCGCAGGCAAUGGCGGCACCUUGACGGUACCUUGCGAGAAAGCCACGGCUAACUACGUGCCAGCAGCCGCGGUAAUACGUAGGUGGCAAGCGUUGUCCGGAAUUAUUGGGCGUAAAGCGCGCGCAGGCGGCCUCUUAAGUCUGAUGUGAAAGCCCCCGGCUCAACCGGGGAGGGCCAUUGGAAACUGGGAGGCUUGAGUAUAGGAGAGAAGAGUGGAAUUCCACGUGUAGCGGUGAAAUGCGUAGAGAUGUGGAGGAACACCAGUGGCGAAGGCGACUCUUUGGCCUAUAACUGACGCUGAGGCGCGAAAGCGUGGGGAGCAAACAG